RNAcentral lists this ribosomal RNA (550 nucleotides) under uncultured bacterium. Its description in RNAcentral is "partial 16S ribosomal RNA". It matches the Rfam family "Bacterial small subunit ribosomal RNA", at positions 355 to 899 of the family's 1533-position model. The record is from RNAcentral.
UGGGGAAUUUUGGACAAUGGGCGAAAGCCUGAUCCAGCAAUGCCGCGUGUGUGAAGAAGGCCUUCGGGUUGUAAAGCACUUUUGUCCGGAAAGAAAUCCUUGGCUCUAAUACAGUCGGGGGAUGACGGUACCGGAAGAAUAAGCACCGGCUAACUACGUGCCAGCAGCCGCGGUAAUACGUAGGGUGCAAGCGUUAAUCGGAAUUACUGGGCGUAAAGCGUGCGCAGGCGGUUUGCUAAGACCGAUGUGAAAUCCCCGGGCUCAACCUGGGAACUGCAUUGGUGACUGGCAGGCUAGAGUAUGGCAGAGGGGGGUAGAAUUCCACGUGUAGCAGUGAAAUGCGUAGAGAUGUGGAGGAAUACCGAUGGCGAAGGCAGCCCCCUGGGCCAAUACUGACGCUCAUGCACGAAAGCGUGGGGAGCAAACAGGAUUAGAUACCCUGGUAGUCCACGCCCUAAACGAUGUCAACUAGUUGUGGGGAUUCAUUUCCUUAGUAACGUAGCUAACGCGUGAAGUUGACCGCCUGGGGAGUACGGUCGCAAGAUUAAAA